RNAcentral lists this ribosomal RNA (492 nucleotides) under uncultured bacterium. RNAcentral's name for it is "partial 16S ribosomal RNA". It matches the Rfam family "Bacterial small subunit ribosomal RNA", at positions 29 to 507 of the family's 1533-position model. The record is from RNAcentral.
AGUGAACGCUGGCGGUAGGCCUAACACAUGCAAGUCGAACGGCAGCACAGUAAGAGCUUGCUCUUACGGGUGGCGAGUGGCGGACGGGUGAGGAAUACAUCGGAAUCUACUUUUUCGUGGGGGAUAACGUAGGGAAACUUACGCUAAUACCGCAUACGACCUACGGGUGAAAGCAGCGGAUCUUCGGAUCUUGCGCGAUUGAAUGAGCCGAUGUCGGAUUAGCUAGUUGGCGGGGUAAAGGCCCACCAAGGCGACGAUCCGUAGCUGGUCUGAGAGGAUGAUCAGCCACACUGGAACUGAGACACGGUCCAGACUCCUACGGGAGGCAGCAGUGGGGAAUAUUGGACAAUGGGCGCAAGCCUGAUCCAGCCAUACCGCGUGGGUGAAGAAGGCCUUCGGGUUGUAAAGCCCUUUUGUUGGGAAAGAAAAGCAGCAGGUUAAUACCCCGCUGUUCUGACGGUACCCAAAGAAUAAGCACCGGCUAACUUCGUG